This 2905-nucleotide ribosomal RNA is filed under the name human gut metagenome. Its description in RNAcentral is "bacterial LSU rRNA". It matches the Rfam family "Bacterial large subunit ribosomal RNA". The record is from RNAcentral.
UUAAGCGAAGAAGAGCGCAGGGUGGAUGCCUUGGCACUGAGAGCCGAUGAAAGACGUGAUAAGCUGCGAAAAGCCAUGGGGAGGUGCAAAUGACCCUUGAUCCAUGGAUAUCUGAAUGGGGAAACCUACAUGAGCAUACCUCAUGUGGCCUGUACUGAAUCCAUAGGUGCAGGCCGGGAACCCGGUGAACUGAAACAUCUAAGUAGCCGGAGGAAGAGAAAGAAAAUAUUCGAUUUCCAAAGUAGCGGCGAGCGAAAUGGAAAGAGCCCAAACCGGUGUGCGUGCACACCGGGGUUCGGACUGCAUGACUGAUCCACGAUCCCAGCAGAACGGUACUGGAAAGACCGGCGGUAAAGGGUGAGAGCCCCGUAAGCGAAGGGAGAAGGGACAGGGCAGUAUCCAGAGUACUACGAGACACGAGAAACCUUGUAGGAAUGAGCGGGGACCACCCCGUAAGGCUAAAUACUACUCAGUGACCGAUAGAGCAUAGUACUGUGAAGGAAAGGUGAAAAGGACCCCGGGAGGGGAGUGAAAGAGAACCUGAAACCCUGUGUUUACAAGCUGUGGAAGUACUUUAUAUGUACGACCGCGUACUUUUUGUAGAACGGUCCGGCGAGCUGCGGAUGCUGGCGAGGUUAAGCACUGAAGGUGCGGAGCCGAAGGGAAACCAUGUCUGAACAGGGCGUCAACAUCUCCUAUGGAGAUGCAGUCAGUAUACGCAGACCCGAAACCGGGUGAUCUAUCCAUGUCCAGGAUGAAGUUGCCGUAAAAGGCAGUGGAGGUCCGAACGCACAUCCGUUGAAAAGGGUGGCGAUGAGGUGUGGAUAGGGGAGAAAUUCCAAUCGAACCCGGAGAUAGCUGGUUCUCCUCGAAAUAGCUUUAGGGCUAGCCUCGUGAGAGUCAGGCGGAGGUAGAGCACUGAAUACCCGAGGGGGCGUCAAAGCUUACCAAAGGUUAUCAAACUCCGAAUGCCGCGCUGAUGCUUCACGGGAGUCAGACUACACGAGAUAAGUUGGGUGGUCAAAAGGGAAACAGCCCAGACCUGCAGCUAAGGUCCCAAAGUGCGUGUUAAGUGGAAAAGGAUGUGGGAUUUCGAAGACAACCAGGAUGUUGGCUCAGAAGCAGCCACACAUUCAAAGAGUGCGUAAUAGCUCACUGGUCGAGAGGUCCUGCGCCGAAAAUGUCCGGGGCUCAAACACGCCACCGAAGCUCAGGAAUGUAUUUAUACAUUGGUAGAGGAGCAUUGUCAGUGCACUGAAGCUGUACCGGUAAGGAGCAGUGGAGCGCUGAGAAGAGAGAAUGCCGGAAUGAGUAGCGAGAAAGAGGUGGGAAUCCUCUUGGCCGAAUAUCCAAGGAUUCCGGGGUAAAGCUGAUCUGCCCCGGGUAAGUCGGGACCUAAGGCGAGGCAGAAAUGCGUAGCCGAUGGACAGCAGGUGGAGAUUCCUGCACUGCCAUAUAUCAGAAAUGUGGGGACGCAUCAGGAAAGUGUGGGCCGGGAAAGGAAAGACCGGUGCAAGCGGAGGAGGGGACAUGCAGGCAAAUCCGCAUGUCAACCCGAGAGCGUUAUGCGGAGCGAAGAACAGUAGCGAAGCACACGGACAGGGUGCCGAGAAAAGCCGCUAUCGUGUAUAUGGUACCCGUACCGUAAACCGACACAGGUGGAUGAGGAGAGAAUCCUAAGGCCGGCGGGAGAAGCAUUGUUAAGGAACUCGGCAAAAUGGCCCCGUAACUUAGGGAUAAGGGGUGCCACAGUGAUGUGGCCGCAGAGAAUAGGCUCAAGCAACUGUUUAGCAAAAACACAGGUCUAUGCGAAACCGAGAGGUGAGGUAUAUGGGCUGACGCCUGCCCGGUGCUGGAAGGUUAAGAGGAGAGGUCAGGAAACGAAGCCUUGAAUUGAAGCCCCAGUAAACGGCGGCCGUAACUAUAACGGUCCUAAGGUAGCGAAAUUCCUUGUCGGGUAAGUUCCGACCCGCACGAAAGGCGUAAUGAUUUGAGCGCUGUCUCGACAAUGCACCCGGUGAAAUUGAAGUACCAGUGAAGAUGCUGGUUACCCGCGCCAGGACGGAAAGACCCCAUGGAGCUUUACUCCAGCUUGAUACUGGGAUCCGGUGUCCAAUGUACAGGAUAGGUGGGAGGCUGAGAGCCAUGAACGCAAGUUUAUGGGGAGCCGCUGUUGGGAUACCACCCUUUGGGUACUGGAUUUCUAACCUGCGCCCGUGACCCGGGCGGGGGACAAUGUCUGGCGGGGAGUUUGACUGGGGCGGUCGCCUCCGAAAGGGUAUCGGAGGCGCUCAAAGGUUCACUCAGAAUGGUCGGAAACCAUUCGGAGAGCGCAAAGGCAGAAGUGAGCCUGACUGUGACACCGACGGGUGGAACAGGUACGAAAGUAGGACUUAGUGAUCCGGUGGUAUAAAGUGGGAUUGCCAUCGCUCAACGGAUAAAAGCUACCCUGGGGAUAACAGGCUGAUCACUCCCAAGAGUUCACAUCGACGGAGUGGUUUGGCACCUCGAUGUCGGCUCAUCGCAUCCUGGGGCUGUAGCAGGUCCCAAGGGUUGGGCUGUUCGCCCAUUAAAGCGGUACGCGAGCUGGGUUCAGAACGUCGUGAGACAGUUCGGUCCCUAUCCGGCGCGGGCGGAGGAUAUCAGAGAGGAGCUGUCCUUAGUACGAGAGGACCGGGAUGGACGGACCGCUGGUGCAUCUGUUGGAUACCAGAUCCAUGGCAGAGUAGCCAAGUCCGGCAGGGAUAAACGCUGAAGGCAUCUAAGCGUGAAGCCCCCCUCAGGAUGAGAUAUCCCAUUCUUAGAGAAUGUAAGACCCCUUAGAGACUAUGAGGUAGAUAGGGCAUGGGUGUAAGUGCAGAGAUGCACUGAGCUGAAUGUCACUAAUAGGUCGAGGGCUUAUCCG